This 311-nucleotide long non-coding RNA is filed under the name Pan troglodytes (chimpanzee). Its description in RNAcentral is "long non-coding RNA NONPTRT003382". Lineage: Eukaryota; Metazoa; Chordata; Mammalia; Primates; Hominidae. The record is from RNAcentral.
AAAUGAGGUCUGAGACUUCUCUGACAUAUCACCAUUUAAUUGCUGUUUUCCUUGUUGAGAACAGGUUGCAAAUACUAAACCUGGUUUCCUCUUCCCUGAGCUAUGGUUUCACAGCUUCAUUUCAUGUGGAUCUUACUCUAAUGUCAUCUUGCCAGAGAAGUCUUCCAUGGCUAUCAUAUCUUAAGUAGCAUGACUCAGUUCCUCUGUUUGCUUUGGACUUGCUCAGUCCAAAUACCUGACCUCAUCUGGCAACUCCCAGAUGAUCCUCAGUCCAAGAGUGGAGUAAUAAUUUGGACAGCAGCAGAACCAAG